GAUGAGAACGUAGCGAAAUGCGAUAAGUAAUGUGAAUUGCAGAAUUCAGUGAAUCAUCGAAUCUUUGAACGCACAUUGCCCCCAUUAGUAUUCUAGUGGGCAUGCCUGUUCGAGCGUCAUUAAGUCCACUUAAGCCCUGCUUAGUGUUGGGAGACUGCUCCAGCGGUGCUACCCUGUAGCUACCCUGCAGCUCCUCAAAGACAGCGGCGGAGUUGUGGUAUCCUCUGAGCUUAGUAACUUGUUCUAGCUUUCGAGUACACCACUUCCCCUGCCGUAAAACCCUUAAUUUUUAAUGGUUGACCUCGGAUCAGGUAGGAAUACCCGCUGAACUUAAGCAUAUCAAUAAGCGGAGGA
Molecule: unclassified non-coding RNA, 354 nt
Filed under: soil metagenome
Description: partial contains 5.8S ribosomal RNA, internal transcribed spacer 2, and large subunit ribosomal RNA
Rfam family: 5.8S ribosomal RNA (bases 5-119)
Source: RNAcentral